This 478-nucleotide ribosomal RNA is filed under the name uncultured bacterium. RNAcentral describes it as "partial 16S ribosomal RNA". It matches the Rfam family "Bacterial small subunit ribosomal RNA", at positions 28 to 507 of the family's 1533-position model. The record is from RNAcentral.
GAUGAACGCUGGCGGCGUGCUUAACACAUGCAAGUCGAGCGAGAAGUUUUGAAAAGAUUCUUCGGAUGAAAUUUAAAAUGGAAAGCGGCGGACGGGUGAGUAACGCGUAGGCAACCUGCCCCAUACAAAGGGAUAGCAUUUGGAAACGAAUAUUAAUACCUUAUGAAACUUAACUAGUGCAUGCUAGGUAGGUCAAAGAUUUAUCGGUAUGGGAUGGGCCUGCGUCUGAUUAGCUAGUUGGUGAGGUAACGGCUCACCAAGGCGACGAUCAGUAGCCGACCUGAGAGGGUGAACGGCCACAUUGGAACUGAGACACGGUCCAAACUCCUACGGGAGGCAGCAGUGGGGAAUAUUGCACAAUGGGGAAACCCUGAUGCAGCAACGCCGCGUGAACGAUGAAGGCCUUUGGGUCGUAAAGUUCUGUUCUAGGUGAUGAAAACUGACAGUAACCUAGGAGAAAGCCCCGGCUAACUCCGUG